AGCUGAACCAACUUGUACUCUUGAUCUCCCCUUAAAAGCUGGUUUUGUACCUGAAUGGAGAGAAGUGCAGAUAUUAGAGACCUGGCUGAUGUCUGGUGCUUCAUUGCCCUGAAUAGACAGAAAAAUGCAGACCCUUGGGAAGCAAAGUGCUUGACAGAGCUGAAAGUGAACAGCAGAGGCUGGGAGGAAGCAGGGCCAAGCAAAUCCAGAAAUCCUCCAAGGCUGUAGCCCUAGGCCCAGCAGGUGGUGGUCAGGACAAAGUAGGAGCAUGUACAGUGUUGAGACCAGAGUCUUGGGAAAGCACCUGUUACAGGUCAGAGUGAAGGAUGAUCCCAGAAACAAGUCAGACAAGAGGCAGGUUUGUCCAAUAGAACAUAAAACUGUGACGCUUGAAGAUAAACAUGACCUUGACCAGCCCUGAGGCUACAUAAACACAGAAGACCACAGGGCAAUCCAGCUGUGUGUAUUACCUGAGCCGUGGGGAGGGAUGCUGUGUGAUCACCAUUACCUGUGAGAAACUUGCCUUACUAUCUUCUUCCUACUGUUUUUGCUGCACUUACCCAGUAGUCGCCAAUUAGAUGGGCCUCACAAGACUAAAAAUCGUCAGAAUUUGUCAAGAUCUGUGGUCUCAGUUGAAUGUUUCUGGAAGCCGAAUCAGACACACAGCAAUCAAAAUCACCAGGGAAUGCUUUUUCAGCAUUUUAUACCUGCAUUCUCCAAUCCUCUAAUCCCCAAGUAACGACAGAACAUCAAGGACAGUGUUGGUGUGGAAUCUGACAUGCACAUUUUUAAACCAGUCUCUAAGGAAUUCUAAUUUACACCCUUAACCCCUGGAAAAGAUAAUCUUCGAGAUUUUUAAAAGUCUAUUUUAAUAGACUUGUGAGCACUUCAAGCUCUAAGUCAGAAGAUAAAGUAAUAUAUAGAAUAGGUGAGUCUUUACAAAGCUCAUUUUUACCAAAUUACUGUUCGCUUUACCAAGUUACCCCACUGAUAUAUUUAGAUGAGCCAUUACACAUUCAUGCCUCUGCUCCUCUCUGACUAGUCACCUGUGCCAGGUGCACUCACAGGUUUUAUUGAAGACUUGGAAGUGCUAUAUGAAAUUCUGAAAUGUUCUCAAAGUGCCUGUAAAAUGUUUUCUUUUUCCUGAAAGCAAAGAUUUGUAGAAAGGUCACUUAACUGUUUUCUUACAGAAAAUUGAUAUUCAUGAAUCCAUACCAGUUCUGGAUGAAAUAAACAUCUUGACUGUCCUAUUGAGAAGACAUGAUAUUGGGGUGAAGUCCAAGGCAUGUCUUCAGUUUUGGCUUUAUAUUUAAAGUUAUAAACUGCACUCAAAACAGAACAAAAUAUGUAUAUGCAUUUGAGAAGUUGUAAAUGUAGUACAAAGAAUAAUAUUAAUGAAAACAAAAAGCACUUUAGGCUCUAAUUCAACAUUCAUGGCAUAGUUUAUAACAGUGAAAAUUGAAAACAUAUUAAAUGCUGAACAGAAGAUAAGAAAACUGUGGUAAAUCCACUAGAUGGAAUAUUAUAUAG
This is a long non-coding RNA of Gorilla gorilla gorilla (western lowland gorilla), 1530 nucleotides long. RefSeq lists it as uncharacterized. The transcript has 4 exons. The record is from RefSeq and is a predicted model, not a curated record. NCBI's taxonomy places the organism in Eukaryota, Metazoa, Chordata, Mammalia, Primates, Hominidae.